UACGUAGGUGGCAAGCGUUUAUCCGGAAUUAUUGGGCGUAAAGCGCACGCAGGCGGUUUCUUAAGUCUGAUGUGAAAGCCCACGGCUCAACCGUGGAGGGUCAUUGGAAACUGGGGAACUUGAGUGCAGAAGAGAAAAGCGGAAUUCCACGUGUAGCGGUGAAAUGCGUAGAGAUGUGGAGGAACACCAGUGGCGAAGGCGGCUUUUUGGUCUGUAACUGAACGCUGAGGCGCGAAAGCGUGGGGAGCAAACAGG
This 255-nucleotide ribosomal RNA is filed under the name uncultured bacterium. Its description in RNAcentral is "partial 16S ribosomal RNA". It matches the Rfam family "Bacterial small subunit ribosomal RNA", at positions 524 to 776 of the family's 1533-position model. The record is from RNAcentral.